GGAAAUGUGGCUCAGAAGUAGAGCAUUUGCCUAGCAUGCAAAAGGCCUUGGGUUCUAUCCUAACAUUACAA
RNAcentral lists this transfer RNA (71 nucleotides) under Heterocephalus glaber (naked mole-rat). It matches the Rfam family "tRNA". From Rfam's summary of the family: Transfer RNA (tRNA) molecules are approximately 80 nucleotides in length. Their secondary structure includes four short double-helical elements and three loops (D, anti-codon, and T loops). Lineage: Eukaryota; Metazoa; Chordata; Mammalia; Rodentia; Bathyergidae. The record is from Rfam by way of RNAcentral.